RNAcentral lists this ribosomal RNA (301 nucleotides) under uncultured bacterium. RNAcentral describes it as "partial 16S ribosomal RNA". It matches the Rfam family "Bacterial small subunit ribosomal RNA", at positions 509 to 807 of the family's 1533-position model. The record is from RNAcentral.
CAGUCGCCGCGGUAAUACGGAGGGAGCUAGCGUUGUUCGGAAUUACUGGGCGUAAAGCGCACGUAGGCGGCUUUGUAAGUUAGAGGUGAAAGCCUGGAGCUCAACUCCAGAACUGCCUUUAAGACUGCAUCGCUUGAUUCCAGGAGAGGUGAGUGGAAUUCCGAGUGUAGAGGUGGAAUUCGUAGAUAUUCGGAAGAACACCAGUGGCGAAGGCGGCUCACUGGACUGGUAUUGACGCUGAGGUGCGAAAGCGUGGGGAGCAAACAGGAUUAGAUACCCCGGUAGUCCCUGUCUCUUAUAC